This 292-nucleotide long non-coding RNA is filed under the name Prunus persica (peach). RNAcentral's name for it is "long non-coding RNA (PPER_LNC007542)". The record is from RNAcentral. Lineage: Eukaryota; Viridiplantae; Streptophyta; Magnoliopsida; Rosales; Rosaceae.
CUGCCCCACAUCAUGGGUUGGGAUAGGUUGAUGAGCAAUAUGCCGACAGUUGUAGGAGGGCAACAAUCAAAAGUGGUUCCACAACUUUUGGAUGAGUGGGAUAGAUGAAGUCCACCGGUAAUCUCGUCCGUAGCAAGCUUAAGGAACUUGGACUUGCAAACUUUUGUUCCUAGUACCUUGGACUUGCAAGAUUGUGUGCUUUAGCAUGGACUUAUCGUGUAUAGUGUAUUUUGAUCUGUUGCCAAAAGCUUAUUUGACCUGGUGUAGACAUUUUUGGCUUAAGAUGCUCAAG